UACAGAGGUGGCAAGCGUUGUUCGGAAUUACUGGGCGUAAAGCGUGCGCAGGCGGUUUUGUAAGACAGCUGUGAAAUCCCCGGGCUUAACCUGGGAACUGCAUUUGUGACUGGCAGGCUAGAGUAUGGCAGAGGGGGGUAGAAUUCCACGUGUAGCAGUGAAAUGCGUAGAGAUGUGGAGGAAUACCGAUGGCGAAGGCAGCCCCCUGGGCCAAUACUGACGCUCAUGCACGAAAGCGUGGGGAGCAAACAGG
Molecule: ribosomal RNA, 253 nt
Filed under: uncultured bacterium
Lineage: Bacteria
Description: partial 16S ribosomal RNA
Rfam family: Bacterial small subunit ribosomal RNA
Source: RNAcentral